Molecule: transfer RNA, 69 nt
Filed under: Taeniogonalos tricolor
Lineage: Eukaryota; Metazoa; Arthropoda; Insecta; Hymenoptera; Trigonalidae
Description: tRNA-Cys
Source: RNAcentral
AAUUCUAUAAUUUAAUAAAAAUAUUAAACUGCAAGUUUAUUCAUGUAUAAUAAAUUUAUACUAGAAUCU